UUACCCCGAGCGCCAUUUCACCGAGGCUCCCCCCCGGCGCCUGAUCCGGCGCUUCCGGCGCCGCCUGCGCCGAAUCUCCCGGCAAAUCCGCGCCCGCAACCGCGGCCUGGAGCGGCCCUACCCCUACCUGGACCCCGCCAACAUCGAGAACAGCGUGGCCAUCUGAGACAGCCGGAAAACACCCGGAAAACACCCGGAAAUACACCCAGAAACACCCUGAAAACACCCGGAAAUACACCCAGAAACAGCCCGAAAACACCCGAAGAUACACCCCGAAAACACCCGGAAAUACACCCAGAAACACCCGGAAAUACACCCAGAAACAGCCCGAAAACACCCGGAAAUACACCCAGAAACACCCCAAAACCACCUGGAAAUACACCCAGAAACAGCCCGAAAACACCCGGAGAUACACCCAGAAACACCCGGAAAUACACCCAGAAACAGCCCGAAAACACCCAGAAACAACCCAAAAACACCCAGAAAUACACCCAGAAACAGCCCGGAAACACCCAGAAAUACACCCGGAAAUACCCAAAAAUACCCCAAAAUUGCUGGUCUGUACUGGGAGCCGUUACUGGGAUUUAUUAACCCUUACUGGUCUGUACUGGUCUGUACUGGGAGCUGUUACUGGUCUAUACUGGUCUGUACUGGGAGCUGUUACUGGUCUAUACUGGGAGCUGUUACUGGUCUGUACUGGGAGCUGUUACUGGUCUGUACUGGGAGCUGUUACUGGGAGUUAUUAACCCUUACUGGUCUGUACUGGGAGCUGUUACUGGUCUGUACUGGUCUGUACUGGGAGCUGUUACUGGGAUUUAUUAACCCUUACUGGUCUGUACUGGGAGCUGUUACUGGUCUGUACUGGGAGCUGUUACUGGGAUUUAUUAACCCUUACUGGUCUGUACUGGGAGCUGUUACUGGUCUGUACUGGGAGCUGUUACUGGGAUUUAUUAACCCUUACUGGUCUAUACUGGGAGCUGUUACUGGUCUAUACUGGGAGCUGUUACUGGUCUGUACUGGGAGCUGUUACUGGGAGUUAUUAACCCUUACUGGUCUGAACUGGGAGCCGUUACUGGUCUAUACUGGUCUAUACUGGUCUGUACUGGGAGCUGUUACUGGUCUGUACUGGGAGCUGUUACUGGUCUGUACUGGUCUAUACUGGUCUGUACUGGUGUCAAUAAAGGUGUCAAUGGAGCAGUGGCUGUGUGGGGGAAGGGUACUGGGGUGUACUGGGACAUACUGGGGCAUACUGGGGUGUACUGGGACAUACUGGGACAUACUGGGACAUACUGGGGUGUACUGGGACAUACUGGGACAUACUGGGACAUACUGGGACAUACUGGGACAUACUGGGACAUACUGGGGUGUACUGGGACAUACUGGGGCAUACUGGGGUGUACUGGGACAUACUGGGACAUA
This 1419-nucleotide long non-coding RNA is filed under the name Cyanistes caeruleus (blue tit). RNAcentral describes it as "lncRNA (ENSCCEG00000005578.1)". Lineage: Eukaryota; Metazoa; Chordata; Aves; Passeriformes; Paridae. The record is from RNAcentral.